RNAcentral lists this ribosomal RNA (128 nucleotides) under Escherichia coli. Its description in RNAcentral is "partial 23S ribosomal RNA". The stretch from base 1 to 111 matches the Rfam family "Bacterial large subunit ribosomal RNA", at positions 2812 to 2925 of the family's 2925-position model. Lineage: Bacteria; Pseudomonadati; Pseudomonadota; Gammaproteobacteria; Enterobacterales; Enterobacteriaceae. The record is from RNAcentral.
UCCUUGAGAGUCCUGAAGGAACGUUGAAGACGACGACGUUGAUAGGCCGGGUGUGUAAGCGCAGCGAUGCGUUGAGCUAACCGGUACUAAUGAACCGUGAGGCUUAACCUUACAACGCCGAAGSUGUU